RNAcentral lists this long non-coding RNA (728 nucleotides) under Astyanax mexicanus (Mexican tetra). RNAcentral's name for it is "lncRNA (ENSAMXG00005018032.1)". Lineage: Eukaryota; Metazoa; Chordata; Actinopteri; Characiformes; Acestrorhamphidae. The record is from RNAcentral.
GGACAUUUUAACAUUUAAACGUUUAGAGAAACACAUCUCUGAUCAGUCUUCUGCAUUGUACCCACAGAUCCUUUUCACUUCCACACGUCCACACGUCCCCCAGCAUCCACUAAACAGAUCAGAACAACAUCCAGCACAUCUGAUCCCCGAACAUCAGAAACAUCAUCUCUAUUCUGUGUUCGAGUGUGAUGUAAAAUCACUGAAAACAUAUUCAAAUAUUUCAGGUUCAUAUUUUGCUGGCUGCAGGAAUCACAAACCUGGCUGUCUGGUUACUGUCAGCAACUAGUGGGAGGCGCCAGUUUUGUUUUAUUUUUCCUGCACUGACGUCACAGAAUUUAAAGCUGCACACACAGUUUUUUAGUGCAUUUAAUUCAUAACCUGUUGUUUUCUGGGGGCUCCAUACCAGUCCAGCUCGGGGCCCUAGGCAAUUGAAAGGUUUGCUUGCCUUGUUGCAAUGAGCCUGCCUAUAAAGACUUUGACCACCACUGCUUUGCAUGUUAUAGUGCCACAUAGAGAAAACCUGACAUAACUUACCUGCUUAUUCCCAACCCAUACAUCACCAGUUAUUAUAAUUAUAUAUUACAGCUCUGGAAAAAAAGAGACCACUUAAUGAUGAUGUUUUUUUUCUUGAUUUUGCCAAAUUAAAAACCUCUAGAAUAGAAUCAAGAGGGAGAUGGAUGAUCACAAGCUAUCAAAUAAAGCUGAACUACUUAAAUUUUUGAGUGGCA